CAACUUGUCAAGCUUCAUAAACUGGCUUAGUCUCCGCCCCUCUCUGUCUCUAGAACUAGAAAAAGGAGAAGAGAACAUGGCGUCAUGGUCAUCGUCGUCCACGCAGCGGAGCAGCGGCGCGACCAUGCCGUGCUCCGUGGUAAAGCUCGACGACGACCUGCUGCGCCACGAGGAGGAGGCCGCCGAGGAGAUCCGGCGCGGCCCGUGGACCGUGGAGGAGGACCUCACACUCGUCAACUACAUCGCCGACCACGGCGACGGCCGCUGGAACUCCCUCGCCCGCGCCGCCGGGCUGAAGCGGACGGGGAAGAGCUGCCGGCUGCGGUGGCUGAACUACCUCCGGCCGGACGUGAAGCGCGGCAACUUCACCGCCGACGAGCAGCUGCUCAUCCUCGACCUCCACUCCCGCUGGGGCAACAGGUGGUCCAAGAUAGCUCAACACCUUCCUGGGAGGACCGACAACGAGAUCAAAAACUACUGGAGGACAAGGGUGCAAAAGCACGCCAAGCAGCUCAACUGUGACGCCAAUAGCACCAAGUUCAAGGAUGCCAUGAAGUAUCUAUGGAUGCCUCGCCUCGCUGACCACCACCUCCAGCAAGCAUCUACAGUUGGUGAUCAUCUUGUGCCUGGGCUACCAACGGCCUACAUGGAGAGCUCCGGCAUGGUGACAUCGUCGUCCGACUCAUUCGCAUCGGAGUCAUAUGAUGGUGCACGCUGUGCAAAUGCGAGCGUGGGAGAGAUGAUACACAGUGGGGAUUGGGUUGAAGAGCAGAAUCAAGGGUUUUGGCCUGAGUCAAACCAGACUUUCCAGCUUCAAGACUCAGACUUGUCUGGAUGGGUACAAGGGUUCUCCGAGUCCGAGAGCCUCACUGAGAAUUUUUGGAGUUUGGAGGACAUUUGGAAGAUGCAAUGAUUUAUAUUCUAUGUUGGAAAAGGGGUACGUGCAUAUACGAUUUAUGGUCGGCAUGGUGGUGUUGAGUUAGAUGCGUCACUUAUAUGGAGAAAAAACUAGAGUUAAUUAGUUUAUUCUAACUCGAAAAGUCACUAUUUUAUAGAACAGUGAUUAAAGUUCUUUUCGUUUCUUUUUCUUCUUUUCUACUUUUUGGGUCAGGUGUUCAUUUUUUCCUCAUACGGACUUGUUCUCCGAGAGGUUAAAGGGAUGGAGUAUUCCGCGCAUGAUGUGUAAUGUUACUUAUAAGGAUGCAAAUGUACAAGCGCAC
RNAcentral lists this ribosomal RNA (1220 nucleotides) under Triticum aestivum (bread wheat). RNAcentral describes it as "partial small subunit ribosomal RNA". The record is from RNAcentral. Lineage: Eukaryota; Viridiplantae; Streptophyta; Magnoliopsida; Poales; Poaceae.